CUGAAAGAACCGUGUGCUCACAAACUACCUCCGCUUCUAAGUUUCCGUCCACUCCUCAGACUUUGCUCUGGAUUCUGUCCCUACGACUCCGCCAAAAUUGCUCUUGCCAAGGUGACCAGGGACCUCCAUGUUGCCCACUCCAAGGAGCACUUCUGAGUCCUCAUCUUACAUUGAGAAUCUUUCUAUUGCACCCGAAAGCAAGCCCAACUCAAAUUGCUGCCAACAAAACAGUUUGUCCAGGAGCAUCUACUGUAGCUACAGAUGUUUUGCCUCUGAAGUGCUCAAGUCUUUGCAGUUCUUUGUGAAUAAUAACAGGUAAUAGUAAUAUAAAUGUGCCAGGCACUCUUUUGUGCACUUCAAAUAUAUUCGUUUAAUGCAUACACCAA
Lemur catta (Ring-tailed lemur) is the source of this 386-nucleotide long non-coding RNA. RefSeq lists it as uncharacterized. Lineage: Eukaryota; Metazoa; Chordata; Mammalia; Primates; Lemuridae. The record is from RefSeq and is a predicted model, not a curated record. The transcript is spliced from 2 exons.